CGAUGUUCCCACGAGUUCGCAUGUUCUUGUGGGCAAAGGCCUUUGCCGGAUAGGGAUGGGGAUGCGUUCCAUUAGGCAGUCGGCGGGGUAACGGCCCACCGAGCCAUCGAUGGAUAGGGGUUCUGAGAGGAAGGCCCCCCACACUGGGACUGAGACACGGCCCAGACUCCUACGGGAGGCAGCAGUGAGGAAUAUUGGUCAAUGGCGGCAACGCUGAACCAGCCAAGUAGCGUGAGGGAUUACGGCCCUAUGGGUUUUAAACCUCUUUUGUUGGGGAGCAACCUGUGCCACUUGUGGCACACUGCGAGUACCCUUCGAAUAAGCAUCGGCUAACUCCGUGCCAGCAGCCGCGGUAAUACGGAGGAUGCGAGCGUUAUCCGGAUUUAUUGGGUUUAAAGGGAGCGCGGACUGGAGAUUAAGUCAGCUGUUAAAUGGCGGCGCCCAACGUCGUCCUGCGGUUGAUACUGGUUUCCUUGAGUGCGGCAUGGGCAUGCGGAAUUCACGGUGUAGCGGUGAAAUGCUUAGAUAUCGUGAAGAACUCCGAUCGCGAAGGCAGCGUGCCGGACCGUUACUGACGUUU
RNAcentral lists this ribosomal RNA (580 nucleotides) under uncultured rumen bacterium. RNAcentral's name for it is "bacterial SSU rRNA". It matches the Rfam family "Bacterial small subunit ribosomal RNA", at positions 171 to 748 of the family's 1533-position model. The record is from RNAcentral.